Molecule: ribosomal RNA, 292 nt
Filed under: uncultured bacterium
Lineage: Bacteria
Description: partial 16S ribosomal RNA
Source: RNAcentral
GGACUACACGGGUUUCUAAUCCUGUUUGCUCCCCACGCUGUCGCGCCUCAGUGUCAGCAACUGCCCAGCUCACCGCCUUCGCCACCGGUGUUCUUCCGGAUCUCUACGCAUUCCACCGCUACACCCGGAAUUCCAUGAGCCUCUACAGUGCUCCAGCCCCGCAGUCUCGACGGCCGACUCGGCGUUGAGCGCCGAGCUUUCACCGUUGACUUGCGGCGCCACCUACGCGCCCUUUACGCCCAGUGAUUCCGGACAACGCUCGCACCCUCCGUAUUACCGCGGCUGCUGGCAC